CCAAUAGCGUAUACUAAAGUUGUUGCAGUUAAAAAGCUCGUAGUUGAACUUCGGGGUUUACUCAUUGGUCAGGCUUAAUUGUCUGUACUGGUGAGAUGAAUCUCUACCUUCUGAGGAACUUUCAUGCCAUUUCUUUGGUGUGGUUGGAAAUCAGGACUGUUACUUUGAAAAAAUUAGGGUGUUUAAAGCAGGCUAACGUCUGAAUACAUUAGCAUGGAAUAAUGAAAUAGGACGGAUUGAUUCUAUUUCGUUGGUUUCUAGGGUCACCGUAAUGAUUAAUAGGGAUAGUUGGGGGCAUUAGUAUUAAAUUGUCAGAGGUGAAAUUCUUGGAUUUAUUGAAGACUAACUACUGCGAAAGCAUUUGCCAAGGAUGUUUUCAUUAAUCAAGAACGAAAGUUAGGGGAUCGAAGACGAUCAGAUACCGUCGUAGUCUUAACCAUAAACUAUGCCGACUAGGGAUCGGACGAAGUUAAUUAAUAAUGACGCGUUCGGCACCUUACG
This 501-nucleotide ribosomal RNA is filed under the name uncultured Diversispora. RNAcentral's name for it is "SSU rRNA". It matches the Rfam family "Eukaryotic small subunit ribosomal RNA", at positions 591 to 1092 of the family's 1831-position model. Lineage: Eukaryota; Fungi; Glomeromycota; Glomeromycetes; Diversisporales; Diversisporaceae. The record is from RNAcentral.